Long non-coding RNA from Perca flavescens (yellow perch), 1639 nucleotides. RefSeq lists it as uncharacterized. The record is from RefSeq and is a predicted model, not a curated record. Lineage: Eukaryota; Metazoa; Chordata; Actinopteri; Perciformes; Percidae. The transcript has 6 exons.
UUGCUCUUGUAUUUCCUCUAACAUCACAUCUUCACUUUUGUCUUUAACUUGAUUCAGGAACUUUCUGAUGUGGUGCGAUGUUUGAACAUGGACUAAAUACAGUAAGACUUGUGGCAUGUGAUGAUGUGCAUCACCCACUGUUUAAAACUUUGUUUCAGCUCAUUAUCUGCCCAGCUCUUUACGCUUUAGCAAUUGAAGGUUUCACACAAAAGUGUUUGUUUGCAAUUGUUACACUGCAAUAGUUUCAUUGCUGUUUUAUUUCCCCAUAAUCCGUGUACCAUUCGUUCAUUCGUUUUUCAAAAUAAAACCAAAACUCAAAAAACAAAUAAAUGACUUGUUUCCUCAAUAUUCGUUUCCAAAACCAAAAGGAAAUAACGGAUAACAACUCGUUUUUCCCAUUUGCAAUUUUGUGCUCAAAUUAAAAAUGGAAAAAACGGAUAACGAGCGUUUCACCCCGUUUCAUCCAAUUUUUAUAUUUUUAAUUGACGCAAGAUGCAUGACCCGGUUGUGACCUUAACUCGUGGGACAACGACACCACCAAGAGCCAAGAACAGCAUAUCUUGUAGCAGGUAGCAACUGAAAUGGAUAUUUUUGUGCUUUUUAGUGGAAGUAAGAGGGUUACUCUGAAGCCUGAAGACAUGACCACAGAGAAGAUAUCGGUUAUUUUCCAGGUCCAAAAGGAAACCGUUUAUUUGACGGACGACACCAACGUGGCCAUAUUUCCCCGACCUGAUGGUGACUUCAACUGCUUUGACCUCAUCGCCAGAGGCCAUUAUGAAGUGCAUGGUGACAGCACCACUGUGGAAAAAUCUGCAGGGGCACUUCCCUCAAGCCAGGUUGCCCGCUUUUCUUUCCAUCGCCCACCAAGCACUGCCACAAGCUCCUCCUGUCCAAUUCCAAGGAGCACCACCAAAACUUUUGUGAGAGUUUGAGGCUUGUGUGGCACCAAUCACCAGUAAGGUGAAAGAGGCCCUUGGACAGCAGGAGUCAUUUAUUUUGACAGAUAGUCAGGGCAACGAAAUAGUUGACUCUGAUGGAACUAGGGGAUCAGCAUACUGGAAGCAAAAUUCCAGGAAAGUAUUUGCAGUACCUGAACCACAGAUGGAACUGCUACAAGUCAAUAAAAGGAAGAGGUUGAGUCGAAGAGAAGAUACUGGCCUUCAAGAGGUUAUGGCAGACAUUGAAGAAGUUGUUGAAGCAGCCCAGGGACUAAAAGAAGUGUCGAAGAUGAUUAAGGAUUUGAGUGGAUUUGCACAUUCCACAGUGACAACAACCCUGUCUCUUUCAGAGGCUGAAGUAGCUUCCUUAAGAGUCGUUUUUGCCUGUCUUGUCUGCAAAGGUCCUGUAGACAAGCCAAUGUUCUCAACAUGCUGCAGAACCCUAAUCGGGUGUAAGGCAUGUGUUGCGGAGUGAAACAGCAGCCACAGUUACUGCCCGAAGUGUCGCGCUGUGGAUUUGGAGAACAGCGUUCAUGAAGUGGCUGGACUCUCUGAGGCGCUGGCACCACUGGAGAAGUUAUUCCUUUAGUAUGUUGCUAUGGUGGCAACAGAUGUUCAUACAGUUCUUCCGAGCCUUGUUUUUAUAGAGGAAUAAUGUCUAAUGUUAACAGUAUUAUUGUCACAUGUAAUUGUGGCACUUA